This 261-nucleotide ribosomal RNA is filed under the name uncultured bacterium. RNAcentral describes it as "partial 16S ribosomal RNA". It matches the Rfam family "Bacterial small subunit ribosomal RNA", at positions 524 to 784 of the family's 1533-position model. The record is from RNAcentral.
UACGUAGGGUGCGAGCGUUAAUCGGAAUUAUUGGGCGUAAAGCGCGUGUAGGCGGUUUUUUAAGUCUGAUGUGAAAGCCCCGGGCUCAACCUGGGAAGUGCAUUGGAAACUGGGCAACUUGAGUACGGGAGAGGAUAGUGGAAUUCCGAGUGUAGGGGUGAAAUCCGUAGAUAUUCGGAGGAACACCGGUGGCGAAGGCGGCUAUCUGGACCGAUACUGACGCUGAGACGCGAAAGCGUGGGGAGCAAACAGGAUUAGAUA